RNAcentral lists this ribosomal RNA (300 nucleotides) under uncultured Deinococcus sp. RNAcentral describes it as "bacterial SSU rRNA". The stretch from base 51 to 300 matches the Rfam family "Bacterial small subunit ribosomal RNA", at positions 547 to 795 of the family's 1533-position model. The record is from RNAcentral. Lineage: Bacteria; Thermotogati; Deinococcota; Deinococci; Deinococcales; Deinococcaceae.
ACGUGUGGGGGCGAGCGGAGUUGGUAGUGGGUAGGGUGCAGGCGUGUGCAGGGUUUAUUGGGAGGGAAGGGGUCGUAGGCGGUUUGGUAGGUCGGAUUGGAAAUCGCCAGGCGCAACCUGGAGGGGUCAGUCGUUAAUGCCAUGAGUAGAGUUCUGUAGGGGAGUGUGGAAUUCCUGGUGGAGCGUUGAAAUGGGCAGAUAUCAGGAGGAACACCCGUAGCGAAGGCGGCACUCUGGGCCUAUACUGACGCUGAGGAGCGAAAGCGUGGGGAGCGAACAGGAUUAGAUACCCCGCUAGUC